This 93-nucleotide transfer RNA is filed under the name Synergistaceae bacterium. RNAcentral describes it as "tRNA-Ser". It matches the Rfam family "tRNA". From Rfam's summary of the family: Transfer RNA (tRNA) molecules are approximately 80 nucleotides in length. Their secondary structure includes four short double-helical elements and three loops (D, anti-codon, and T loops). The record is from RNAcentral. Lineage: Bacteria; Thermotogati; Synergistota; Synergistia; Synergistales; Synergistaceae.
GGUGAGUUGGCCGAGAGGCUGAAGGCACUCGCCUGCUAAGCGAGUAUAGGGAUUAAACCUCUAUCGAGAGUUCGAAUCUCUCACUCACCGCCA